RNAcentral lists this ribosomal RNA (467 nucleotides) under uncultured bacterium. Its description in RNAcentral is "bacterial SSU rRNA". It matches the Rfam family "Bacterial small subunit ribosomal RNA", at positions 917 to 1382 of the family's 1533-position model. The record is from RNAcentral.
GGACUCGCACAAGCGGUGGAGCAUGUGGUUUAAUUCGACGCAACGCGAAAAACCUUACCAGGCCUUGACAUCCUCCUGACCGAUCUAGAGAUAGGUCCUUCCCUUUUAGGGACAGAAGAGACAGGUGGUGCAUGGUUGUCGUCAGCUCGUGUCGUGAGAUGUUGGGUUAAGUCCCGCAACGAGCGCAACCCUUAUCAUUAGUUGCUAACAUUCAGUUGAGAACUCUAAUGAGACUGCCAGCGACAAGCUGGAGGAAGGUGGGGAUGAGGUCAAAUCAUCAUGCCCCUUAUGGCCUGGGCUACACACGUGCUACAAUGGCCGGUACAAAGAGCAGCAAAGCCGUGAGGUGGAGCAAAUCUCAAAAAGCCGGUCUCAGUUCAGAUUGUAGUCUGCAACUCGACUACAUGAAGUCGGAAUCGCUAGUAAUCGUGAAUCAGCAUGUCACGGUGAAUACGUUCUCGAGUCUU